Acipenser ruthenus (sterlet) is the source of this 1308-nucleotide long non-coding RNA. RefSeq lists it as uncharacterized. The record is from RefSeq and is a predicted model, not a curated record. NCBI's taxonomy places the organism in Eukaryota, Metazoa, Chordata, Actinopteri, Acipenseriformes, Acipenseridae. The transcript has 3 exons.
GAGCCUUUGUUCUUUUUUAAACAGGUAGAGGGUGGAAGGGAGGCAGGUUUUGUGUUCUGGGUUCCUCCAUUUUGUGUAUGGCGGUGUGGUUUGUGUGCAGGUUCUGAAUGGGUUCCAGUUGGCUUUCAGGAUUUUAUUUACAAGAAAAUUAUAUUAAAUAAGAACUAUACCUACCUUGGAGCAUCUCUUGGACAACUUGUUGUUGUUGGACUGCCACUGGAACUACAGAAUAAGCAUCAACAAACAAACAAACAGUCAGGUCUGUGAGGAUGAGAAGGUCUCCACAGUCUGGAGUCUGGUCUCUGACAGGCUCAACAUACCUGUCAAUCAACAGGGACUCCUCUACAAAGGCAAGGCGCUGGCAGGUAGGCUGAACAACACAGCACAGCACAGCACAGCACAGAUCACCCCUCAUCUCGCCCCUCACCUCACCCCUCCUCUCACUCCUCGCCUCACCCCGGGUCAGUGUGGCACAGCCUGCCUGCUCUUCUGAACAAACACUUCAGCCCUGCAGACGCAGUGAGAGUCUGGAGCAGCUACACAAGGUGAUGAAGUGACACUUUGAAUAUGGGGCCUGAUGAGAGAAGUAUCCUUUUCAUGUGGUUUUGGUUUUGCCGUUGUGAGCAGGUAUGGGAGACAGCACCGUGUCUGCAUGUGAAAUAACAAAGUCAUCGCAGUGGAGGGACUCUCUGAAGGCUGCUGUUUGUGGAUUUGUCUUGUAAUGUGAGUGAUCUACUGUACUGUGAUGCCACUGUCUGUACGCACGCUGCACUGCAGGGGAGACACCGCUGGCAUUCACAGGGCAUGCUUGUUCAUUUAAAGCACGCUGCACUGCAGGGGAGACACCAACCUUCUGGACAAAGCCAAAACAGAUAGAGGAGUGACCAAAGUGAUCCUAUCAUUCGGAAUCAACAACAAGGACCAGAAAGUCAAAGAGACAGCUAUCAAAAACCUACAAAGGAUGUACAGGUCAGCAAAGACAACCUUCCCAACUGCAGAAAUCAAAGUGCCACUGGUGAACUUCUCACGAGCACUAGACAUGCAGGCCCAACGAAACUUGGAAGAACUAAACGGAUUCAUCUCAGCCAACCUACCACACAUACCGCUAUUACCAACUGAGAAAUUUCAAGCUGGCGGAGACAACAUCCACUGGACAACCAACACAGCCAAAGAUAUGCUCCAGCACUGGUGCCAGCAUUUAAACUAGGAGACCCCACAAGCCCAAAUAUCUCCAGGGAGGGGGCAUCCAACAUAGUCAAUCUAUGUAAAUACUUCACACCAACAGAGAGUCAAAACAGCCUUUUGAGC